Podarcis lilfordi (Lilford's wall lizard) is the source of this 70-nucleotide non-coding RNA. Lineage: Eukaryota; Metazoa; Chordata; Lepidosauria; Squamata; Lacertidae. The record is from the annotation of a GenBank genome assembly.
GGAUAGCUCAGUUGGUUAGAGCAUGGUACUGAGGAUGCCAAGGUUGCAGGUUCGAUCCCCGCGAGGAACA